UUGAACGCUGGCGGCAUGCCUUACACAUGCAAAGUCGAACGGUAGAGGGGCAACCCUUGAGAGUGGCGAACGGGUGAGUAAUAUAUUCGGAACGUGCCCAGUCGUGGGGGAUAACGCAGCGAAAGCUGCGCUAAUACCGCAUACGAUCUAUGGAUGAAAGCGGGGGAUCGCAAGACCUCGCGCGAUUGGAGCGGCCGAUAUCAGAUUAGGUAGUUGGUGGGGUAAAAG
This 228-nucleotide ribosomal RNA is filed under the name uncultured bacterium. Its description in RNAcentral is "partial 16S ribosomal RNA". It matches the Rfam family "Bacterial small subunit ribosomal RNA", at positions 30 to 263 of the family's 1533-position model. The record is from RNAcentral.